Molecule: ribosomal RNA, 556 nt
Filed under: uncultured Acidobacteriota bacterium
Lineage: Bacteria; Pseudomonadati; Acidobacteriota
Description: SSU rRNA
Rfam family: Bacterial small subunit ribosomal RNA
Source: RNAcentral
CAGCUAGUUGGUGAGGUAACGGCUCACCAAGGCUAUGAUCGUUAGCUGGUCUGAGAGGAUGGCCAGCCACACUGGAACUGAGACACGGUCCAGACUCCUACGGGAGGCAGCAGUGGGGAAUCUUGCACAAUGGGCGAAAGCCUGAUGCAGCGACGCCGCGUGGGGGAUGAAGCUUCUCGGAGUGUAAACCCCUUUCGACCCGGACGAAUGCCCCGCAAGGGGACUGACGGUACGGGUAUAAGAAGCCCCGGCUAACUACGUGCCAGCAGCCGCGGUAAGACGUAGGGGGCCAGCGUUGCUCGGAAUUACUGGGUGUAAAGGGUUCGUAGGCGGUGUGGCAAGUCGGGAGUGAAAUCUCUGGGCUCAACCCAGAGGCUGCUUCCGAAACUGCCGUGCUUGAGUGUGGGAGAGGCGCGUGGAAUUGCAGGUGUAGCGGUGAAAUGCGUAGAUAUCUGCAGGAACACCCGUGGCGAAAGCGGCGCGCUGGACCACAACUGACGCUGAGGAACGAAAGCUAGGGGAGCAAACAGGAUUAGAUACCCUGGUAGUCCUAGCC